This 589-nucleotide ribosomal RNA is filed under the name Acanthonus armatus. RNAcentral describes it as "partial 16S ribosomal RNA". It matches the Rfam family "Bacterial large subunit ribosomal RNA", at positions 1808 to 2606 of the family's 2925-position model. Lineage: Eukaryota; Metazoa; Chordata; Actinopteri; Ophidiiformes; Ophidiidae. The record is from RNAcentral.
CAAAAACAUCGCCUCUUGAAAAUAUAAUAUAAGAGGUCCCGCCUGCCCUGUGACUAUAUGUUUAACGGCCGCGGUAUUUUGACCGUGCGAAGGUAGCGCAAUCACUUGUCUCUUAAAUGGGGACCUGUAUGAAUGGCACAACGAGGGCUUAACUGUCUCCUUUCUUAAGUCAAUGAAAUUGAUCUCCCCGUGCAGAAGCGGGGAUUUAUACAUAAGACGAGAAGACCCUAUGGAGCUUUAGACACUGGGGUCAACCAUGUAAGAAACCCUAAUUAAAGGAAUAAACUAGAUGGACCCUGGCCCACUGUCUUUGGUUGGGGCGACCGCGGGGAAAUACAAAACCCCCACGUGGAAUGGGAGGACCCCUCCUAAAACCCAGAGCCACAGCUCUAGUAUACAGAAUAUCUGACCAAUAUGAUCCGGCAGAGCCGAUCAACGGACCGAGUUACCCUAGGGAUAACAGCGCAAUCCCCUUUUAGAGCCCAUAUCGACAAGGGGGUUUACGACCUCGAUGUUGGAUCAGGACAUCCUAAUGGUGCAGCCGCUAUUAAGGGUUCGUUUGUUCAACGAUUAAAGUCCUACGUGAUCU